AAGCGGAGGAAAAGAAACCAACAGGGAUUGCCCUAGUUACGGCGAGUGAAGCGGCAACAGCUCAAAUUUGAAAUCUGGCUCUUUCAGAGUCCGAGUUGUAAUUUGCAGAGGGCGCUUUGGCUUUGGCAGCGGUCCAAGUUCCUUGGAACAGGACGUCACAGAGGGUGAGAAUCCCGUACGUGGUCGCUAGCUAUUGCCGUGUAAAGCCCCUUCGACGAGUCGAGUUGUUUGGGAAUGCAGCUCUAAAUGGGAGGUAAAUUUCUUCUAAAGCUAAAUAUUGGCCAGAGACCGAUAGCGCACAAGUAGAGUGAUCGAAAGAUGAAAAGCACUUUGGAAAGAGAGUCAAACAGCACGUGAAAUUGUUGAAAGGGAAGCGCUUGCAGCCAGACUUGCUUGCAGUUGCUCAUCCGGGCUUUUGCCCGGUGCACUCUUCUGUAGGCAGGCCAGCAUCAGUUUGGGCGGUGGGAUAAAGGUCUCUGACACGUUCCUUCCUUCGGGUUGGCCAUAUAGGGGAGACGACAUACCACCAGCCUGGACUGAGGUCCGCGCAUCUGCUAGGAUGCUGGCGUAAUGGCUGUAAGCGGCCCGUCUUGACCCACGGACCA
Molecule: ribosomal RNA, 605 nt
Filed under: Curvularia lunata
Lineage: Eukaryota; Fungi; Ascomycota; Dothideomycetes; Pleosporales; Pleosporaceae
Description: partial large subunit ribosomal RNA
Rfam family: Eukaryotic large subunit ribosomal RNA
Source: RNAcentral